CACAGCCAGCAGGCCGAAAAGAGCUGCUGUUUCCCUCCCUCCUCCCCAUCGCACAACAGCAAUAAGUCUCCUGUAAGUCCCGGCAGAGCCAAGGCUUGUUUAUGGCCUGGCUGGUCUACCGCACACUAUUGUCAACUGGGGCCUGCGGGAUGAUGACUCCUACGUGUGAGACAAGCGUUACGGCUCAUAAGCCACCCAUUGCAUGUAAACACCGCCCCCACGCCAUUUGCAGUCCAAACAUUGCAGUGUUGUGCUGGUGCAUGAGAACCAGAAAGGGACACAGAGUAGAAACAAAAUUAACCCUGGAGAGAGGAGAGUGGACAGCAAGAAGUGAAGAGUUCUGGCUGCUUUGGGAAAAACACUACUUUUACAUUUGGAGACCAGAAGCCAUUUGUUUCUGCACUUACCUCUGACUGGUGCUGGAUGGUUGAGACACACUAAACCAUGGUAAUAACGGCAAAGACCGAGAAAGCACAGAGGUAAGGAGGAUUCCUUCAUGCCCCAGGCACAGACCCAAUGACCAGCAUGCUGAGCACCAUCUUGCAAUUCCUGUACCUUCUGUCUCUCGGUUGCCAUGUCUCAGGGAGAUUAUGUCUAUGCAAUGAGCGACUGUCAUCUCUGAAAAAGAUAAAAUACAAAGCAUCCCAAGAGCCUGGAGAGUGAUGGUGGUAGCAGAAACUGCAUCACUGUCGAGAUGUGGGUUGAAGACAGUGAUGCACAUUGACACACUGGAGUGGGGGGUCAGACUUACUGGCCCAAAUACCUUGAUUAAACACCAACUUGUGGGGAGACAAAAGACCUGAAAACUCAAGAGUCUCAAAUUUGCCCUAGGAGCAAACUUCUGGGGUUCCAGAGAAUAGGCAGGUGGCUAAUGUUGCCCUGUGUAGGAAAGAGCCAAUGCCUACACUGUUGUUACUAUAGAUAGCCAUCAAAUUGGAUCCCAUAUGUAUAGGAAAGAGAACAGUACCUCCAAAAGAGAUACAGGCAACUGAUAAUACAGUGAGUCAGGGCCACGCAUCCCUUCUGCAAUAAAUUCCAUUUACAUAAAUGGAAAUAGGUGCCUAAAUAACACCCACUUGCUAAUAUGGCUGAUUGCAGGAUCAGGCCCCUGUGUGUGAUACUCAAGGGUUAUUAUAGACUAUACACAGCAAUUAAAGAAUGCAUGAGGCAUCCUUGGUCCCUUUCAUCUGUGACCCCAAGUCCAGCUCCUCAAGCCAGGAGGCCUGGAUAUAGUUCAAUAAAGCAGUAUCAAGUCCUUUGCAAUAAAGCUAUACAAUGGCCGAGGCCCUCCUGCAAUAGAGCAAUUCACAGGUGAAAUCAAUCAGGGAGCAACAAUCAAAGGAAAUGGACAUUUUAGACUGACUGGAAACAGAGCUGCCCUACUACAUGCUGCAGGUUUGAAAAUGAACUGCUAAUUGCAAUGGUAGGCCCAUUCAGAGUAUGUCUAUCUUGCAAUAAAACACCCCCGGCUGGCCCAUGUCAGCUGACUCAGGGUCGGAGGGCUCAGAGUGUGGGGCUAUAAAACUGCAGUGUGGAUGUCUGGGCUCAGGGUGCAGCCUGGGCUCUGGGACCCCACAAGAAUACGCCAAAAUUGUAGAGCACUGAGUACAAUUCUGCUCCAACUGUAUCUAAAGCCACCUCUUAAGCAACCAGUUUGUUAGCCCCUUGAGAAGCCACUUAGAGAUCUCACUGUACUUUUAGUCUGCAGUUCAGAGAGCUCACCUACAGUUUCAUAACUUUGACAGAAACAGUCUUCCCUCAACCAACUGAGCAUCUCCUAGUUUAAACUGGAUUUUUUUCCCAUUUGAGAGUACUGCUUUAGUUAGCUGUAUAUAAAAGCAGACAAAUAUAAACUGUGUUAUAAAGAUGAAAUACACAGUAAGUACAUGACAGGUUGUUCUGGACACUUUAAAUACAGUAUUUCAUUGUGUUCUGGAUACUUUAAAUACAAUAUUUCAUUGCUCAUUUUGGGCAACAGUUCUAUCAAUUGGAGGUUUCACCCAAACCCAAACAAAACAUUUUUAAGGUUCAGACCAGUCUAGUUUAAUCAGCCACCCUCAUAGUGCAAAAAGCAAACAUCCCAUAAAAGGCAAAGAGCAAACUAAAUAUUUACAUUUUCAGUUUUAAUAAUCUGCAGUGUUCGCAACACACAAGGAAGUGUUACUAGCCUGACACUGCCUUCUGAAAAAAGUCAGCUAAACAAUUCUUUAUCUUAAAGUGCAACAGGCUAAGAGAAAAUCCAUGUUGAAUUUAUAGAGCUUUCAUCCACCGUACAUUUUGGCCUCUAAGGUAGUUGCAUCUGAAGAAGUGGUUUUUUACUCACGAAAGCUUAUGCCCAAAUAAAUCUGUUAGUGUUUAAGGUGCCACAGGACUCCUUGUUGUUUUUGUGGAUACAGACUAACACGGCUACCCCCUGAUACUUAAGGUAGUUCUGUAUUUUCACCUGCACUUAAAAUAUCUCAGGCUCUGAUCUCCUAAACUAAGCAGAGACAGACCUGGGAAAGAAUCAUAUGCAAGAUCUCCAAGACAACCCAGAGUGUGCUGCAGGAAGUGGUGCUGGCAAUUUAGUGGGGGGCACUUUCCAUCAAGUCAGGACUGCUCUAAAGCUUCAGCACAGAGUUAAGGGUGUUGUCUAGAGAUGAAGCACUUGGGAUGAGAUGUAAAAAUCACACAACCUCCCCUGCAGCACCAAUACCCCCUCCCCCCAGCCUCUCAAUGUGUUUUCCAUUAAAAAACCUGUGAGACUUCUGACAAAUUGUUAAUCCCAGUAUCCUGGCUACAAUGCAAAGUGGCUCAUCUACUGAGAUGCAUACAUUUCCUUCGAAGAGAAAACAUGUCUGGCGGAUUGAUUGAUUUAGGGGAGUCCCACAACACAAACAACAGCAGAACACGGCUGGGUUUUUGCUUUUUUUUUUUUUUUUAAUUGAAAAUUUACAUUAAAGUUAGAAAGGAAUCACGCUUAACAGUGCUGGUUCUUUAAUGUUUGUCAUGUAAAUACAGAGCUGCAGUGCAGUUUUUCACACUUCCAUUUGUAAAAAGGAAACAAAAAAUAAAGGAGAGAGACAGUAGAAUACAGUUUGGAGAAACAUGCAGUGAAUGUUCCAAGAGAGAACGAGACAAGCAAAAAGUUUUAGGACAGGCAUCAAAUGCAUUUUAAGGACACUGCACUCUACUCACAUGGUAUUUGGAUGGAGCAUGACCAGCCACUGACAGCUCCGCCCCUCCCAUCUCAAUAACACUAAGUGCAAGAUCAUUCUCUAACUAAAGCGCACAGGGAGAGGUCACACUAUUUGGAGUGUUUUACACAAUAAAUGAUUUCACAUUAAAAAAAAUCUCACUCAACCUGUGGUCAAUCAGGUGAUGCAGUUUAAUAAUGUGGUGGAGGCACCAAAUGACAGUAAUGGAAACAUUUCGUUUUGCUUUACUUCCUUGUUAAAAUUAAGUAUUUUGUGGCUGUCAAUGUGGCAAAUCACCCCUUGUUUAUAUCUCCUUCAUCAAACGCAACAAUUUACAGAACAAACCAAUGAACUCACAUACUGAAAACACCCUGUCAGGCUUCAACAGAUCCUUAGGGGAGUCCAUGACCUUUCUAUUAGGCCAAAUUAGAGG
Chelonia mydas (Green sea turtle) is the source of this 3609-nucleotide long non-coding RNA. RefSeq lists it as uncharacterized. Lineage: Eukaryota; Metazoa; Chordata; Testudines; Cheloniidae. The record is from RefSeq and is a predicted model, not a curated record. The transcript has 2 exons.